This 497-nucleotide ribosomal RNA is filed under the name uncultured bacterium. Its description in RNAcentral is "partial 16S ribosomal RNA". It matches the Rfam family "Bacterial small subunit ribosomal RNA", at positions 28 to 507 of the family's 1533-position model. The record is from RNAcentral.
GAUGAACGCUGGCGGCGUGCCUAAUACAUGCAAGUCGAGCGAACAGACGAGGAGCUUGCUCCUCUGACGUUAGCGGCGGACGGGUGAGUAACACGUGGAUAACCUACCUAUAAGACUGGGAUAACUUCGGGAAACCGGAGCUAAUACCGGAUAAUAUAUUGAACCGCAUGGUUCAAUAGUGAAAGACGGUUUUGCUGUCACUUAUAGAUGGAUCCGCGCCGCAUUAGCUAGUUGGUAAGGUAACGGCUUACCAAGGCAACGAUGCGUAGCCGACCUGAGAGGUUGAUCGGCCACACUGGAACUGAGCCACGGUCCAGACUCCUACGGGAGGCAGCAGUAGGGAAUCUUCCGCAAUGGGCGAAAGCCUGACGGAGCAACGCCGCGUGAGUGAUGAAGGUCUUCGGAUCGUAAAACUCUGUUAUUAGGGAAGAACAAAUGUGUAAGUAACUAUGCACGUCUUGACGGUACCUAAUCAGAAAGCCACGGCUAACUACGUG